Erpetoichthys calabaricus (reedfish) is the source of this 1314-nucleotide long non-coding RNA. RefSeq lists it as uncharacterized. NCBI's taxonomy places the organism in Eukaryota, Metazoa, Chordata, Cladistia, Polypteriformes, Polypteridae. The record is from RefSeq and is a predicted model, not a curated record. The transcript has 2 exons.
AUGGUUCAUUUUGUCUGGUGUCCGGCUAGCAACAUGAAGCAGCCAAUGAUGGCUUUGGGUCACCCAGGGGGUGACAGUCACUGCUACCACAAAAUGCAUUGAGAAAGAAGACUCAGCUGAAUUCUUUCAGCUUAAGGGUGAAUCAGGUACUCGAGGACACCAGUACAUUUAGGACUGAAGUUAGGAAGCACUUCCUUAAGCAAAAAGUUGUGAGAAUCUGGGAAAAAAAAACACAAAAAACUAUCAAGCAAUGGAGCUGAAGAAGAAACCUGGACAACCUUCAAGAAGCAUCUAGAGGAGAUACUGGGACAGAUUCACGGUUAGCAGAACAAACAAGUGACAAACAGACUGAAUGGUCGCCCCUCAUUUAUCAAAUUUUCAGAUGUUCUUCACUGCUGUCAUGUUUUACUGCGAGUCGUAGUAACCCUAAUAAGGAUCACAAACCAAUAUGUGGAUUGCUGUCUGGUCAUCAAGUAAAGCAAAUAUGAAAAAUGAUAACGUAUAAGGCAGCAGAGUGGCACACUGGUUGGUGCUUCUGGGAUUGAGCCUCAUGCCUACGUGGAGCUUGCUUGGUCUCCCCUAAUCUAUGUAAGUUUUCACCAAAUUUUCCAUUCUUUGAUCAACGGCCAUGGCACUCUGUUAUUCAACUGCAGAAAAGGGUGCACCAGUGUGAGCUAGGUCAAUCCAUGCCAACAAGGUUGAGCCUGAGCUAAAUAGUGCAUGCCAAAUAAUCACCGGCACAUUGAGAACAACGUGGCUUCCUGCUUUAUACAGGCUGGCCAGGAUGGUACCUCCUCAUAUACGAUGAGAAACCAGUUCAAGAGUCGAAAAGGUUCAAACGACUGAUGGACUCCAGACACCCACUCCACCACCAGGCUUCUCGUCGGAGCUUUGCCACAAUGGAACCCCUCAAUCCAAAGCAAUCCACAACACAUAGGCUCGAGAGGUGGUGAGAGACUGACUGUAGCCCGACCAAUGAAGCUCUUCCUACACCUCAAGAGCAUCUACCCAAUGGAACAUCCCUCUCUAGGAAAGACUGGGUCAAAGGUGGGAAAAACAAGGGACAACCUAUUUAAAUGGGGCAUCACAACCAGCGCUGAAUGUCCCUGUGGUGAGACCACCCAAACAGUGGACCACAUUCCCCAUGAAUAUUCCCAAGGCCCUACAUGCACCAAUGAAGAUCUUAACGAUGCUAAUGACAAUGACAAAAUUUUCCAGUUUUCUUCCCACAAUGCAAAUACAUGCCUGUUAGUGUAUCGGGAUUUUUGUUCAAGUUAUGUAAGGUCAUAAAUAAUAAUAAAAGUCAAGAGUGGA